UAUGCAGGUAGAGGUGCGGGCAACAAGAGUACUUUCAGGAAGAGUGGUGCUGAUGAUCUGAAAGGAAAGGGUUGACUGCCGAAGUGCGGCAUGAUACCGGAUCGGUCGCACUGGUUUUGCAUUAAACAGGUGCAAAACUGUCACCAAAUUUUUUUGGUGGAGCGCUAUCUCAUCA
This 175-nucleotide non-coding RNA is filed under the name Acetonema longum. RNAcentral describes it as "Lysine sequence". It matches the Rfam family "Lysine riboswitch aptamer". Rfam says of the family: Riboswitches are metabolite binding domains within certain messenger RNAs that serve as precision sensors for their corresponding targets. Allosteric rearrangement of mRNA structure is mediated by ligand binding, and this results in modulation of gene expression. This family includes riboswitches that sense lysine in a number of genes involved in lysine metabolism, including lysC. RNAcentral also lists the same sequence under 1 other name. The record is from RNAcentral. Lineage: Bacteria; Bacillati; Bacillota; Negativicutes; Acetonemataceae.